RNAcentral lists this transfer RNA (88 nucleotides) under Dehalococcoidia bacterium. RNAcentral's name for it is "tRNA-Ser". It matches the Rfam family "tRNA". Rfam says of the family: Transfer RNA (tRNA) molecules are approximately 80 nucleotides in length. Their secondary structure includes four short double-helical elements and three loops (D, anti-codon, and T loops). The record is from RNAcentral. Lineage: Bacteria; Bacillati; Chloroflexota; Dehalococcoidia.
GGAGGGGUGGCCGAGUGGACGAAGGCGGCUGUCUUGAAAACAGCUACUCCGCAUGGGGUCGCAGGUUCGAAUCCUGUCCCCUCCGCCA